This 43-nucleotide transfer RNA is filed under the name Monochamus sparsutus. RNAcentral's name for it is "partial tRNA-Leu". Lineage: Eukaryota; Metazoa; Arthropoda; Insecta; Coleoptera; Cerambycidae. The record is from RNAcentral.
UUGGAUUUAAACCCCGAAUAUAAAGCUUAUACUUUUUUUAGAA